GUAGGGAAUAUUGCUCAAUGGGCGAAAGCCUGAAGCAGCAACGCCGCGUGUGCGAUGAAGGCCUUCGGGUCGUAAAGCACUUUUCUGGGAGAUGAGAAAGGACAGUAUCUCAGGAAUAAGCCUCGGCUAACUACGUGCCAGCAGCCGCGGUAAAACGUAGGAGGCAAGCGUUAUCCGGAUUUACUGGGCGUAAAGCGCGUGCAGGCGGUUCGGUAAGUUGGAUGUGAAAGCUCCCGGCUCAACUGGGAGAGGUCGUUCAAUACUGCCGGACUAGAGGGCAGCAGAGGAAGGUGGAAUUCCCGGUGUAGUGGUGAAAUGCGUAGAUAUCGGGAGGAACACCAGUGGCGAAGGCGGCCUUCUGGGCUGCUCCUGACGCUCAGACGCGAAAGCUAGGGUAGCGAACGGGAUUAGAAACCCCUGUAGUCC
This 426-nucleotide ribosomal RNA is filed under the name uncultured bacterium. RNAcentral's name for it is "bacterial SSU rRNA". It matches the Rfam family "Bacterial small subunit ribosomal RNA", at positions 354 to 796 of the family's 1533-position model. The record is from RNAcentral.